RNAcentral lists this unclassified non-coding RNA (329 nucleotides) under soil metagenome. RNAcentral describes it as "partial contains 5.8S ribosomal RNA, internal transcribed spacer 2, and large subunit ribosomal RNA". The stretch from base 1 to 120 matches the Rfam family "5.8S ribosomal RNA", at positions 35 to 154 of the family's 154-position model. The record is from RNAcentral.
GAUGAAGAACGCAGCGAAAUGCGAUAAGUAAUGUGAAUUGCAGAAUUCAGUGAAUCAUCGAAUCUUUGAACGCACAUUGCGCCCCUUGGUAUUCCGAGGGGCAUGCCUGUUCGAGCGUCAUUAUAACCCCUCAAGCUCAGCUUGGUGUUGGGGCCUGCUGCACUGGCAGCCCUUAAAAUCAGUGGCGGCGCCAUCUGGCUCUAAGCGUAGUAAUUCUUCUCGCUAUGGAGUCCUGGUGGAUGCUUGCCAUCAACCCCCAAUUUUUCUAUGGUUGACCUCGGAUCAGGUAGGGAUACCCGCUGAAUUUAAGCAUAUCAAUAAGCGGAGGA